CCAAUAGCGUAUAUUAAAGUUGUUGCAGUUAAAAAGCUCGUAGUUGAAUUUCGGAAUCAAUAUAUCGGUCGUGCCUCUGGUACGCACUUAUUUAUUGAUUUCUCACUUCUGACGAAUCAUAAUGUCAUUAGUUUGGUGUUAUGAGGAAUCAGGACUGUUACUUUGAAAAAAUUAGAGUGUUUAAAGCAGGCUCGCGCUUGAAUACAUUAGCAUGGAAUAAUGAAAUAGGAUGUUUUAUCUUAUUUUGUUGGUUUCUAGGAUCGACAUAAUGAUUAAUAGGGAUAGUUGGGGGCAUUAGUAUUCAAUUGUCAGAGGUGAAAUUCUUGGAUUUAUUGAAGACUAACUACUGCGAAAGCAUUUGCCAAGGAUGUUUUCAUUAAUCAAGAACGAAAGUUAGGGGAUCGAAGACGAUCAGAUACCGUCGUAGUCUUAACCAUAAACUAUGCCGACUAGGGAUCGGAUGAUGUUAUUUUUUAAUGACUCAUUCGGCACCUUACG
Molecule: unclassified non-coding RNA, 498 nt
Filed under: uncultured Glomus
Lineage: Eukaryota; Fungi; Glomeromycota; Glomeromycetes; Glomerales; Glomeraceae
Description: SSU rRNA
Rfam family: Eukaryotic small subunit ribosomal RNA
Source: RNAcentral